CCUACGGGUGGCAGCAGUGAGGAAUAUUGGUCAAUGGGCGCGAGCCUGAACCAGCCAAGUAGCGUGAAGGAUGACUGCCCUACGGGUUGUAAACUUCUUUUAUAAGGGAAUAAAGUGCGGGACGUGUCCCGUUUUGUAUGUACCUUAUGACUAAGGAUCGGCUAACUCCGUGCCAGCAGCCGCGGUAAUACGGAGGAUCCGAGCGUUAUCCGGAUUUUUUGGGUUUAAAGGGUGCGUAGGCGGCCUUUUAAGUCAGCGGUGAAAGUCUGUGGCUCAACCCUAGAAUUGCCGUUGAAACUGGGGAGCUUGAGUAUGUUUGAGGCAGGCGGAAUGCGUGGGGUAGCGGUGAAAUGCUUAGAUAUCACGCAGAACCCCGAUUGCGAAGGCAGCCUGCCAAGCCAUGACUGACGCUGAUGCACGAAAGCGUGGGGAUCAAACAGGAUUAGAUACCCUUGUAGUC
This 460-nucleotide ribosomal RNA is filed under the name uncultured bacterium. Its description in RNAcentral is "partial 16S ribosomal RNA". It matches the Rfam family "Bacterial small subunit ribosomal RNA", at positions 338 to 795 of the family's 1533-position model. The record is from RNAcentral.